GGAUGCCCUGUGGACUUCUAUCAAAGUGAUGGAUGAGGGUUUUUCUUUUUUGACUACUGAAAAUGCAAGGAAAUAAAAAAUGUACCCAACCCCCAGACUUUUAAUCCUCCUCUUGCAUUUGUAGCAGAUCUCCACUCCAAUGAGUGAUUGAGGACUGUGAACACAGAAUGUGAAGGACAACCGCUCCAGCAGGAAUAUUUGAGAUGGCUGAAGCAGAAGUAAUCAAAUCUCAUUUGUCAAGGCUGGCUUAUUAUGUUAGCCAUCUGAAGAGAUCAUUUCUUUCUAAAGCUACAGAGGAAGAAAAUUUGCAACAAGGCUUUAUUGAUCUGGGAGAGAUUCCCUAUACUUACAUUUACAAGCACCGAUGGAACACAAGCAAAAACUGUCAAAAUUGAAGAAACAUAUCAAAGUUUUCCAUGUGUUUUCCAUUAAGAAGAUGAAUUGCAGAGUCGGACUGCACUUCAAGGAAUUUGGAUGCACCGGUUGUGAGCUUGGAAGAAGUGAUGUUUAAGUAUCAACCAGCCCUCAUGGGGCCUCCUUACCUUUUAAUGCUCUAGCACAUGGGAUACCUCCAGUCAAGGAGCAUCCACAACCAUCAAACCCCUUCAGGACUCCUUUCUGCAGCUCAAAGAGCUGAACGAAAACACUCCUGAUGAGUCUGUGGACAUAAGCUGAAACUUUCCUGGAUCUGGAAAACAUGAAAUGCGUCAAGGAAGUAAAUAUGAAUCUAGAAAUAUGAAGAUUCAGAAGAAGUACUGGGGGCCUGAUUUUUGUGGAUUUCUGUAGCAUUACCAAGAAAUUCCCAUUUACUCUGGGAGCGGCAAGGCUGUAUUUGAAAUCUUCUGAUCGAAAAAAAAAAGUUAACCCAGCUGUAUUCACAGUAUGUCACUGAUGCAGAUGAGAUUCCACUCUGUAUUUUGUUUGAAGCCAUCUGACAGGAUGAAGGAAUCCAGAGACAGAACUCAUCAAAAUGGAGGCAAGAGAGCAAUACCUUUGGAGCUGGAUUCUUUGAGGCAGAUUGAAUAAAUGCUCCGAAGUGAGCUAGAAACCGAAGGGAAUGUAUCCCUUUCUAAACUUUUUCAAAUUGCAUCACAGUGAUGAUCCAAAAUUCUGCUGGAGCAGUUGAAAGAGAAAUUCCAAUGAAAAAUAGUAAUACUGGCAGCAUUUGAUAAAUCGCUCGGGUAAAGAUCUUCAAACCAAGGACACUAGGUGUGUGAAACUUAAGGAAGAAUUUGAACCAUGAUCCAGCUUCCAGGCAGUCAUUCCUGUUUCUCCCCCUAUCAAAGAAUCUGUGGGACUGCAAACUGAGCUAGACUGCAUAAAUGAUUGUCACUGAAGAUGAGCAAAAGAAGAUGAACAGCAUUUUUAAUUUUUUCCUUGACAUCUGGAUUUUUGCUGGGUUCCAUCUUGCAUCAUGGACCAAUGAAAAGUUCCAACAUUACAGAGAAGUCCAAUGACACAACAUAGCCAAGAGAACAGAAAUAAAGAAAAGAUGGAGAACUCUACAGGCUUGUCUUCAAGAAAACGGAUUGUGUUAGUAGAUUAUUAAACAUCAGGAACAGUUAAUGCACUCUAAAAGGAACUAUCUGAAAACAACAUCCCAAGUUAUUUUUAUCUGAUAACAACUGAGGAGAGAAUUCAGUAGGAUGAACAAUGAAAGUUAUCUCAGGUAUAGGCGGACUUUGGCCAUUUAGUUUACAGGCAAGUUAUUUCAGACUAUAAAAUAAUAAAAGUCUUCCCCAGUCCUCAAGGUUAUGUCAAUGGGCAGUUUGUCCUUUAUGAAAAAUUAAUAUCUGCCUUUCCAGGAUCUGAACUUGUAACAGUGAAUAUGUCAUUUGAUUGCAGUGACUUGGUACAGCAAUUGCUAUGUGCCUGCUAGUUAGCAAUUUGGGGAUUGAUUUUUACUUGGAGCUUGAAAUAGAAGAGACAAGGGGACUUAUAUGUAAUGUAAUACACGUACUACACUCAUCCACCCAUCCCCACUUCACAUCCCUGUUGGAUUUUUCAAUGGUUAACGUAUUACAAUUGAACUGUUUAUGUUUAUUAGCUAUGGAAUAUUGCAGAUUACAUUACAAAAAUGCUGUACCAUUUAGAAAUAAUUCAUUUAUUCUGUUAAUUUAGCUAAAAAUAUGCACAGAUGUGUAAAUGCAUUUUAUUACAUAAAAGAGAUAAAGAAUAUAAUGUUUAUCAAAUUUCAGAUUAAAAUAAAAAGUGUAAAAAUUUGAUUCUGCCAGCCCACUGGUGUAUCUUCCAAAUUCAUGUUUUCUGCCUCAAAUAGUGUAAUGAAAGAUAACAUUAAUGGGAGGGAACAGGAG
RNAcentral lists this long non-coding RNA (2315 nucleotides) under Gallus gallus (chicken). Its description in RNAcentral is "lncRNA (ENSGALG00010007248.1)". Lineage: Eukaryota; Metazoa; Chordata; Aves; Galliformes; Phasianidae. The record is from RNAcentral.